UUCAGCUCAGAAUAUUACCUGUAGCCCAUGAGGAGGAACCAAAAAUCCUUGACUUUGUUUCAUGGCUAAAUUAUUCUUUUUUUUGUCUGGCUUGAUUGUUUCCCUUUCUUUCUGUAUUUUUCUCACUUCUCUGAUUAAAUGUAUUCUUUGGAACUCGGGAAAGGCCUAGGAGGCUAAUGUUUGUCUACAAACCAGCAGAAGGCCAAGGACAUGGGUUGGAGCAGGGGAGGGUGGCCUUUUCUAGGAAGACCCCCUAGGGUCCUGUUCAGUUAUAUCGAGAGAGGACACAGAGAGGACAAAGAAGAGGUGACUACUGAUAGACCUGCAAGUUGGGCUUGGCUGAUUGGAGGUACAUUUACCCCACCUGUGUCCUUGAAAUGUACACUCUGCCUGUGGUUCCCAGGCUGGGAGCCACUUUCGAGGAGGCAGGCUUGAAGGAACAGUGUGUUGCUGAGACUCUCUGGACAACAUGCGACUCUGAACCCACUGAAAGCCUCUAUAAAAGCUUUCAAGAUCCUGGCCAGCAGGGGUGGAGAGCUGAUUUUGGCUACCAAGACAAGCCUUGUAGGACUGGCAGAAGUCUGGGAAAACAGGUCCAUCCAAAGGCUCCUUCUCAAUCUUCAAGUUAACAGUCUGACCUUCUUUCCACGGCUCAUGGCCAAGCUGCGUCCUUCACAAGGUCCUACCUGAAUCAAGAUUACUGAUUGGUUCAGCUAAUCUUAUUCUCUUCCAGUUUAUCUGUGAGGACCAAAACAAUGUAUGUUGAGAGAUUGGCCAUGCCACUAUAAAUGGUCUUUAUUGUCCUCCUUGGUGGCCAUGAACUGAAAUAACCAGUGACCCAAGCAAGAUCCUGGUCCUGUUACUCUGUCCAAACUUGUAUUGCUUGCUUCAUGACAGGCCAGUAAGUCGAGAGACAGUUUGUUGAGGGCAAGGAAUAGUGAAUGUAUUUGGAAAGCCAGCAGAUGGAGAAGAUGGUGUCCCAAAGAACCAUCUUCCCUGAGAUAGCAUUCACGCUUCUCUUAUAUUAAAGGAGCCUCUGAGGGGGACUUGCAAUUCCACCUCAUACCUGAGUGAGAGUGUCCAUCUUGAGUCCUUCCUCAGGGCUAUGUAGUUUGUAACCCUUACCUCUAACAUAACUUCCAAAGAAAUAUUAACCUGGAAUCCACCAUCAAAAAUCCAAGUCACCUGAGGUGAGGGAAAAACAGCAUGAGGAGGGAGAACCAGAGCAGCGUGUCCGAGUUCCUCCUGCUGGGGCUCCCCAUCCAGCCAGAGCAGCAGAGCCUGUUCUUUGCCCUGUUCCUGGGCAUGUACCUGACCACGGUGCUGGGGAACCUGCUCAUCAUCAUGCUCAUCA
Non-coding RNA from Sus scrofa (pig), 1354 nucleotides. Lineage: Eukaryota; Metazoa; Chordata; Mammalia; Artiodactyla; Suidae. The record is from RefSeq and is a predicted model, not a curated record.